Molecule: ribosomal RNA, 435 nt
Filed under: uncultured bacterium
Lineage: Bacteria
Description: partial 16S ribosomal RNA
Rfam family: Bacterial small subunit ribosomal RNA
Source: RNAcentral
GAUGAACGCUGGCGGUAUGCUUAACACAUGCAAGUCGAACGGACUCUUCGGAGUUAGUGGCGGACGGGUGAGUAACGCGUGAGAAUCUGGCUUUGGGUUCGGGACAACCACUGGAAACGGUGGCUAAUACCGGAUGUGCCGAGAGGUAAAAGAGAAAUUGCCUGAAGAUGGGCUCGCGUCUGAUUAGCUAGUUGGUGAGGUAAAGGCUCACCAAGGCAGCGAUCAGUAGCUGGUCUGAGAGGAUGACCAGCCACACUGGGACUGAGACACGGCCCAGACUCCUACGGGAGGCAGCAGUGGGGAAUUUUCCGCAAUGGGCGAAAGCCUGACGGAGCAAUACCGCGUGAGGGAAGAAGGCUCUUGGGUUGUAAACCUCUUUUCUUAGGGAAGAACAAAAUGACGGUACCUAAGGAAUCAGCAUCGGCUAACUCUGUG